This 406-nucleotide ribosomal RNA is filed under the name uncultured bacterium. RNAcentral's name for it is "partial 16S ribosomal RNA". It matches the Rfam family "Bacterial small subunit ribosomal RNA", at positions 29 to 526 of the family's 1533-position model. The record is from RNAcentral.
AUUGAACGCUGGCGGCAGGCCUAACACAUGCACGUCUGGCGAGCGGCGGACGGGUGAGUAAUGUAUGGGGAUCUGCCUGAUGGCGGGGGAUAACGACUGGAAACGGUAGCUAAUACCGCCUACCACCAGAUGAACCCAUAUGGGGUUAGCGAGUAGGUGAGGUAACGGCUUACCUAGGCGGCGAUCCCUGGCUGGUCUGAGAGGAUGAUAAGCCACAAGGGGACGGAGACACGUCCCGGACGCCUACGUGAGGCAGCAGUUGGGAAAAGGAGACAAUGGGCGCAAUCUUGAUGCAGCCAUGCCGCGGGUAUGAAGAAGUCCUUGGGGUUGUAAAGGACUUUCAGUCGGGCGGAGUUACCGACAGAAGAAGCACAGGCUAACUCCGUGCCAGCAGCCGCGGUAAUAC